AAAUCAGAACGCUUAAAGUAAGGAAUUCAAUACUUGAAUGACUUUGCGCAGUAUGAAAUUUUUACUAUUAACUUAAUUUUUUAAAUUAAUAGUAAGCUCAAGGAGAAUAAUCGGGGGUAGAUCUAUUUCAUGGCGAACGGCGAAAUGUUUUGACCCAUGAGAGAGAAACUAAGGCUAAGGCAUCUACCAAGUGUAUUUCUAUCGAUCAAGGGCGAUAGUAGGAAUAUCAAACCGGAUCAGAGACCCGGGUAGUUCCUACCAUAAACUAUGCCGACAAUAGCUUAUUAACAUUCUAUGAAGUUAGUAGGAUAAUUAGAGAAAUCAUAGUUCAUGGGCUCUGGGGGAACUACGACCGCAAGGCUGAAACUUGAAGGAAUUGACGGAAGGGCACACCAGGGGUGGAGCUUGUGGCUUAAUUUGAAUCAACACGGGAAAACUUACCAGUACCAGAUAUUUUUUAAGACUGAUCAGGAUAAAGUUCUUUCAGGAUAUAAUUUUUGGGGGUGCAUGGC
RNAcentral lists this ribosomal RNA (512 nucleotides) under Parahistomonas wenrichi. RNAcentral describes it as "bacterial SSU rRNA". It matches the Rfam family "Eukaryotic small subunit ribosomal RNA", at positions 763 to 1288 of the family's 1831-position model. The record is from RNAcentral. Lineage: Eukaryota; Parabasalia; Tritrichomonadida; Dientamoebidae.